Molecule: ribosomal RNA, 498 nt
Filed under: uncultured bacterium
Lineage: Bacteria
Description: partial 16S ribosomal RNA
Rfam family: Bacterial small subunit ribosomal RNA
Source: RNAcentral
AGCGAACGCUGGCGGCGUGCCUAACACAUGCAAGUCGAACGUGAAAAGGGAAACCUGAGUAAAGUGGCGUACGGGUGAGUCACGCGUAGGUAAUCUACCCCAGAAUCUGGAAUAACCUGCCGAAAGGCGGGCUAAUACUGGAUAGAGCGAGGGAACUCGUAAGAGAGUUUUUCGGGAAAGGGAGCCCGCAAGGGCCUUCGUUCUGGGAUGAGCCUGCGUCUCAUUAGCUAGUUGGUAAGGUAACGGCUUACCAAGGCGAUGAUGAGUAGCUGGUCUGAGAGGAUGAUCAGCCACACUGGAACUGAAACACGGUCCAGACUCCUACGGGAGGCAGCAGUGGGGAAUCUUGCGCAAUGGACGAAAGUCUGACGCAGCCACGCCGCGUGCGUGAAGAAGGCCUUCGGGUUGUCAAGCUCUGUCGGAUGGGACGAACAUCUUCAUAGUGAAUAGCUAUGAGGACUGACGGUACCAUCAAAGGAAGCACCGGCUAACUCCGUG